This 148-nucleotide non-coding RNA is filed under the name Chlorocebus sabaeus (green monkey). The record is from Rfam by way of RNAcentral. Lineage: Eukaryota; Metazoa; Chordata; Mammalia; Primates; Cercopithecidae.
GCUGGGCGUGGUGGUGCAUGCCUGUAAUCCCAGGUACUUAGGAGGCUGAGGCAGGAGAAUUGCUUGAACCUGGGAGGCAGAGGUUGCAGUGAGCUGAGAUCAUGCCACUGCACUGCAGCCUGGGCAACAGAGCAAGACUCUGUCUCCA